UCUCAUUCACACCAACUUAGCUAGCUUUAAUCAUUAACUAGCUUUAACACGGACAACAACAUCAUCAAAAAACAUCUUCUUGUUGUGAAUUACUCUCUCUUUACGUAUCGUAGCAUCAAUUAACGCAAACCCCUCAUCCUUCAAUUGAACAGAAACAUGAAUUUUCUGCAUAAAAGUUGCAUAACAACAGAAAGAACGAAUCUUGGAAAAAUUCAUCCCAUAGAGAGUGAAAAUCGUGGUUGUAUCAUGAAGUUCUUCACUAUAAGCCAUAGGUAGAAUUGAUUUGAUUGAGAAUUUGAUGAGUUUUUUUCUUGGUUUGAAUGGAUAACAACAACAUCAGAGUUUUGCCAUAAAUCUUUGUUUGUGAAACUCAAACUGUUGUAAAAGGUACUAAGCCUUUUCUGGAACAAUUCUUUCAUCAUUUUUUUUGGAUUUUUGAAAACUGAGAAUUGAUGGUUUAAACGAGAAAAGAGUGAUCAGUGACUUUUGUUUGGAGUCUUGAUCAUAUAAAGAAGAAGACAAAUAGGUUUAGAGGUCUUUGUAGAAU
RNAcentral lists this long non-coding RNA (547 nucleotides) under Nicotiana benthamiana. RNAcentral's name for it is "long non-coding RNA (NBEN_LNC002627)". Lineage: Eukaryota; Viridiplantae; Streptophyta; Magnoliopsida; Solanales; Solanaceae. The record is from RNAcentral.